Non-coding RNA from Zootermopsis nevadensis, 290 nucleotides. The record is from RefSeq and is a predicted model, not a curated record. NCBI's taxonomy places the organism in Eukaryota, Metazoa, Arthropoda, Insecta, Blattodea, Termopsidae.
GAAGCAAAUGUAACAUGUUCAAAAUUAUGCUAUUUGUGACAUAUCAUUGUGUUUUACUACUAAGGUAUUGUAUUAUUUUGAAAUACUGGAGUAUCACAUUGUAUAUGGCAAAAUAGAGUGUUGGGUUUCAUAGGUAAUGAUACGUUUUGUUAAAAGUGAUCAGUGGAUACAUGAUUAGCAACUUGGUUAAUCCAAGCAUAUAUUAAAUAACAUUCCAUUGCAGUUUCUUUUAUAUAUACAGUUUUUUAGGUUAUGGAGUUGGGUGAAUAAACUCUUUUUGUUUCACUGUU